Long non-coding RNA from Ictalurus punctatus (channel catfish), 508 nucleotides. The record is from Ensembl. Lineage: Eukaryota; Metazoa; Chordata; Actinopteri; Siluriformes; Ictaluridae.
CGCCUCUCAGGGCCAGAACAGCGCUAGCAGCACGCCGCAUCAAUUUGCCGUCCUCUCCUCCAGCUGUCUGGGCCUUGUGAAGGGCUUCUGCUGAAACGGCGCUAACAGCUUCUGCUGGAAAAGCUCCAGCAAAUGAGCGUCACAAAACUCAGCAGGGAAGAUCAGCGAAUGAUUACUCCUUUACUCCAAUUUCAUUUCAGUCUUUUUGUCUUUUUCAUGCAGUGAUAUUUGUCAGUCGUGAAUCUCAAAUACAGUACUAUGAAAGCUGCUGAAGACAAACCAGCGCAAGACGAACCUGUAUUGAAUUAGACAAUGUUGCAAGAUCAGUUAAUGAAAUAUUGAUAAGAACAUUCCUUCAACACAUGCUGCAGCAGCUGUUCUGGGUCGCAGGGAACCUGGAGCCUAUCCCAGGAAGCAUCGGGGAAUUCAUCACAGGACACAAAUACACAUACUCAUUCAUAGACUACGGACACUGCCAAAUAGCAUGCAUGUCAUUGGCCUGGGGGAG